UUAAAUUGAAGAGUUUGAUCAUGGCUCAGAUUGAACGCUGGCGGCAGGCCUAACACAUGCAAGUCGAACGGUAACAGGAAGCAGCUUGCUGCUUUGCUGACGAGUGGCGGACGGGUGAGUAAUGUCUGGGAAACUGCCUGAUGGAGGGGGAUAACUACUGGAAACGGUGGCUAAUACCGCAUAACGUCGCAAGACCAAAGAGGGGGACCUUCGGGCCUCUUGCCAUCAGAUGUGCCCAGAUGGGAUUAGCUAGUUGGUGAGGUAACGGCUCAC
RNAcentral lists this ribosomal RNA (273 nucleotides) under Salmonella enterica subsp. enterica serovar Infantis str. 335-3. RNAcentral's name for it is "partial 16S ribosomal RNA". It matches the Rfam family "Bacterial small subunit ribosomal RNA", at positions 1 to 268 of the family's 1533-position model. The record is from RNAcentral. Lineage: Bacteria; Pseudomonadati; Pseudomonadota; Gammaproteobacteria; Enterobacterales; Enterobacteriaceae.